This 1029-nucleotide long non-coding RNA is filed under the name Medicago truncatula (barrel medic). RNAcentral's name for it is "lncRNA gene35599". The record is from RNAcentral. Lineage: Eukaryota; Viridiplantae; Streptophyta; Magnoliopsida; Fabales; Fabaceae.
AUGGCAGCACGACACGUUGAUGUUGUAUUGUUGACUGAUGCCAAUGCUUUGUUAUUUGGAAUAAUGACUAACAUGGUUUGUGAAUUUUCUAUGUGAAUGUAUGUUUGUUCAUUGAGUGUGUGUAUAUUGUAUUAUCAGAUACAAGGAAAUGAGGUGUGUCUUUUGUUUAGGAUAAUGCUACUAGAGUUAUUGCCGAGGGUCUGUGACCGGAUCAGAAAAUGGUGUCAAAAGUAAUGACCCGGAAUCCUUUAUUUGUGACAUCAAAUACGUUGGCUAUUGAUGCUCUACAAAAGAUGGUCUAAGAACAAAAAGUUUAAUACUGUAAAAGGAUGUGAGAAGAUUUGAAGAAGAAAGAAAGGAAAAGACAUGGGAAGACAGGGGAAAUAGAGUACAAUUAUACCUGUGACUAUGUUAUAAUUUAUAGAGUACAUGUUACAUUGGAUGAAAACUUGCAAUCGUUUUAGUAUGUAAUUCAAAAUGUGUUGCAUAGUGCAUAGUUCAUUUUCAUUAUGCAAGACAGGGGAAAUUUUAUAGAGUAUGUAAUUCAAAUUGGUUAUUAAAACUUCUCUCUAAUAUGUUAAUUCAAAUAUGAGUGAAGUCAGAGCCCGAUCAGGGUCAAACGACGUAUGAAUGUCGAUAUUUUAAGUCAAAAUUUGGGGUAUGACAAUAUCAAAUUGUUUUUUUCAUACUUGUUAUCUUCAAAACUUCAGAGGCAUUGUUCAAAACCCUUUUUUGGUUCAAUAGGGUGGAUACAUAACUCCAAUUUUAGUUUACUCUCCCAAACACAUCUCCUUUUUACCUAAGCCAAAUUGUAACCCAUAAAGAUAUCAAAAGUACAUGUUAUUAUAUAAACACUGUUCAACUAUUUAGAAUAUUUUCAAGGUUAUAUAUUAAAUACUUGAGAGACUCAAUGAGCUUGAGAGAUAAAGUUGUAUGGAUGGAAUUUGGCAUGAGUUGUGUACCCUUGACUCCACUCGCCUUGUACAAAAGAGCAGUGCAAAGAAACGAUCAGCUCCACACGCCUGGUAC